RNAcentral lists this ribosomal RNA (253 nucleotides) under uncultured bacterium. RNAcentral describes it as "partial 16S ribosomal RNA". It matches the Rfam family "Bacterial small subunit ribosomal RNA", at positions 524 to 776 of the family's 1533-position model. The record is from RNAcentral.
UACGGGGGGGGCACGCGUUGUUCGGAAUUACUGGGCGUAAAGGGCUCGUAGGCGGCCAACUAAGUCCGACGUGAAAUCCCCAGGCUUAACCUGGGAACUGCGUCGGAUACUGGAUGGCUUGAAUUCGGGAGAGGGAUGCAGAAUUCCAGGUGUAGCGGUGAAAUGCGUAGAUAUCUGGAGGAAUACCGGUGGCGAAGGCGGCAUCCUGGACCGACAUUGACGCUGAUGAGCGAAAGCUAGGGGAGCAAACGGG